UUUCAUAGAGUUUCCUUAGGAAAAGUACUCAGAUGUGGUUUUGCUUUAAUAUUCCUCUGAAUCUAGCCUACAGCACUUGGUGUCCCUUGAUGGUCUCCCAUCCAAGUCCCAGUGGUUCUCAACCUGUGGGUCCCCAGAUGUUUUGGCUUUCAACUCCCAGAAAUCCUAACAGCUUGUAAACUGGCUGGCAUUUCUGGGAGUUGUAGGCCAAAACACCUGGGAACCCACAGGUUGAAAACCACUGGUCUAGGCUUCAAUUCUGCUUAGCUUCCAAAUAUCUGGUGACUUUAUGGUAUUUAGGCAGGACCUAUAUGCUGUUUACAUUAAUACAAUUAUUUUGCACAGUUAAUGACAUGAACAGCAUUACAUAGCCUUAAGUAUUAGCUGCUUCUUUAGCUAUUUCUAUGUCUUUUUCACUCAUGUUACACUUGGCAAUUUAUUUUACUAAGCAAUCCAACUGGAAUCACCAAAUGAUGUAUGGCUGUGAAGAUAAAAAUCACUGGAUUAUUUUCAAAUCACCAUAAAUCCUGUAACAGUUCUGUGGUUUAGUAGCCUCUCUGGUGUUCUAAUAGAAAUUUUGGAUUAGUUUGCUUUAAACAUUUUAUUCUUGAAAGUGUUUUUUGUGUUUGUAGAGUGGAACUAUCUUAUAAGGUAGAGCUAUGCACAAAUCCAAAGUAGGAUAAGUUAAUAAUAAAAUGUUUGCCGUUGUUAAAAAGUAAGAGCCUGACUUAAUGGUGCAUGAUGUAAAAGGGUAAGGGACCAUUAAAAAUAAACUAUUCUAGGAUAUUUAUUGGUAGAUGCUGUUGAUGCUCAACUGAAUUGUGGUGAAAUAUUUAUUUUUGCCAAUAAUAAUAGACCCAGGUUGUAAAUGGAAUAUCUCUAACUUACUUAUACUGAAACAUGUUAUACUAAGUAAUGGAAACUAUUUUGCAUUUCAAGCUUCUCUGACAGAAUUCAUUUUAAAAAUUGAUUUUGGUAGCUUUGGAUUUCUAUAAUGAUAUUAAACCUAAAUUAUGUAAUACAAUAUAUAAAUUAUUUACAGUACUGUCAGCAUAGUUUAGUUUCUUUGCCCAAUAUAUUAAAUAAGCAACUUGUCUUAGAGAAAGUAUGUUAUAUUGACAUAUUUGAUAUUAUCUACAUUUCAGUAUUAUGUUUUGAAUCCAGGGACUAUUCUUAGAGUAGGCCCAAUGAAAUCAGUGAGACUUAAGUUUA
RNAcentral lists this long non-coding RNA (1212 nucleotides) under Anolis carolinensis (green anole). RNAcentral describes it as "lncRNA (ENSACAG00000036658.1)". Lineage: Eukaryota; Metazoa; Chordata; Lepidosauria; Squamata; Anolidae. The record is from RNAcentral.